This 378-nucleotide ribosomal RNA is filed under the name uncultured organism. RNAcentral's name for it is "bacterial SSU rRNA". It matches the Rfam family "Bacterial small subunit ribosomal RNA", at positions 526 to 896 of the family's 1533-position model. The record is from RNAcentral.
CGUAGGGGGCAAGCGUUGUCCGGAAUCAUUGGGCGUAAAGCGCGUGUAGGACGGCUCGAUAAGUCUGCUGUGAAAGUCCUAGGGCUCAACCCUGGGAUGCCGGUGGAUACUGUCGAGCUCGAGUCCGGAAGAGGAGUGUGGAAUUCCUGGUGUAGCGGUGAAAUGCGCAGAUUAUCAAGGAGGAACACCGAUAGCGAAGGCAGCACUCUGGUACGUGACUGACGCUGAGACGCGAAAGCGUGGGGAGCUAAACAGGAUUAGAUACCCUGGUAGUCCACGCCGUAAACGAUGGGCACGUAGGUGUGGGAGGUGUCGACUCCUCCCGUGCCGAAGCUAACGCAUUAAGUGCCCCGCCUGGGGAGUACGGUCGCAAGACUA